Molecule: ribosomal RNA, 1220 nt
Filed under: Microbacterium hydrocarbonoxydans
Lineage: Bacteria; Bacillati; Actinomycetota; Actinomycetes; Micrococcales; Microbacteriaceae
Description: bacterial SSU rRNA
Rfam family: Bacterial small subunit ribosomal RNA
Source: RNAcentral
CGGAGCUUGCUCUGUGGGAUCAGUGGCGAACGGGUGAGUAACACGUGAGCAACCUGCCCCUGACUCUGGGAUAAGCGCUGGAAACGGCGUCUAAUACUGGAUACGAACCAUGAAGGCAUCUUCAGUGGUUGGAAAGAUUUAUUGGUUGGGGAUGGGCUCGCGGCCUAUCAGCUUGUUGGUGAGGUAAUGGCUCACCAAGGCGUCGACGGGUAGCCGGCCUGAGAGGGUGACCGGCCACACUGGGACUGAGACACGGCCCAGACUCCUACGGGAGGCAGCAGUGGGGAAUAUUGCACAAUGGGCGCAAGCCUGAUGCAGCAACGCCGCGUGAGGGAUGACGGCCUUCGGGUUGUAAACCUCUUUUAGCAGGGAAGAAGCGAAAGUGACGGUACCUGCAGAAAAAGCGCCGGCUAACUACGUGCCAGCAGCCGCGGUAAUACGUAGGGCGCAAGCGUUAUCCGGAAUUAUUGGGCGUAAAGAGCUCGUAGGCGGUUUGUCGCGUCUGCUGUGAAAUCCGGAGGCUCAACCUCCGGCCUGCAGUGGGUACGGGCAGACUAGAGUGCGGUAGGGGAGAUUGGAAUUCCUGGUGUAGCGGUGGAAUGCGCAGAUAUCAGGAGGAACACCGAUGGCGAAGGCAGAUCUCUGGGCCGUAACUGACGCUGAGGAGCGAAAGGGUGGGGAGCAAACAGGCUUAGAUACCCUGGUAGUCCACCCCGUAAACGUUGGGAACUAGUUGUGGGGUCCAUUCCACGGAUUCCGUGACGCAGCUAACGCAUUAAGUUCCCCGCCUGGGGAGUACGGCCGCAAGGCUAAAACUCAAAGGAAUUGACGGGGACCCGCACAAGCGGCGGAGCAUGCGGAUUAAUUCGAUGCAACGCGAAGAACCUUACCAAGGCUUGACAUAUACGAGAACGGGCCAGAAAUGGUCAACUCUUUGGACACUCGUAAACAGGUGGUGCAUGGUUGUCGUCAGCUCGUGUCGUGAGAUGUUGGGUUAAGUCCCGCAACGAGCGCAACCCUCGUUCUAUGUUGCCAGCACGUAAUGGUGGGAACUCAUGGGAUACUGCCGGGGUCAACUCGGAGGAAGGUGGGGAUGACGUCAAAUCAUCAUGCCCCUUAUGUCUUGGGCUUCACGCAUGCUACAAUGGCCGGUACAAAGGGCUGCAAUACCCCCGAGGUGGAGCGAAUCCCAAAAAGCCGGUCCCAGUUCGGAUUGAGGU